RNAcentral lists this ribosomal RNA (1443 nucleotides) under Pseudotrichonympha solitaria. RNAcentral describes it as "SSU rRNA". It matches the Rfam family "Eukaryotic small subunit ribosomal RNA". The record is from RNAcentral. Lineage: Eukaryota; Parabasalia; Trichonymphida; Teranymphidae.
GCAACGAAACUGCGUACAGCUCAUUAACACACUCAUAACCUACGAGACAGCGACUUUUGUCAUAUGGAUAGCUGGAGUAAAUCUCGAGCUAAUACAUGAAAGAGUACCUCAGGUUUUGAACAACAGAGGUAAAGUUGACCGUUAGGCACGUCAAGCGGAUGAGUGGCCUAUCAGCUAGUACUUAGGAUCUUUACCUAGGUAGGCUAUAACGGGUAACGGGCGGUUACCGUCGGACUGCCGGAGAAGGAGCCUGAGAGACAGCUACUAUUCCUACGGGGAGCAGCAGGCGCGAAACUUACCCACUCGAUAGAAUCGGAGGUGGUAAUGACCAGUUCCAAGUAUGGGAUUUAUUCCCACAUUGGAUAGGUUGACAAAUUAAAGAAGUCAAGUAAUCUAGCAGAGGGCCAGUCUGGUGCCAGCAGCUGCGGUAAUUCCAGCUCUGCGAGUUUGCUCCCAUAUUGUUGCAGUUAAAACGCCCGUAGUCAGAACACGAAAACGAAUGUCAUCAUGCCGUCCACCGCGAAUAAAACAGGACGCUUAGGGUUUUUACAGAAUGAUAGAGCGCGGUCUGGAGUAUUUACCGUUAAGGUAAGAUCAAGGAGAGCGAGUGGUGCUGGUAGUAUUCCUGAGCGAGCGGUGGAAUGCAUUAACCUUAGGGAGACUAACGAAAGCGAAAGCAGCCAGCAAGUAGGUUUCUAUCGAUCAAGGGCGAGAGUAGGGGUAGCGAACCGGAUUAGAGACCCGGGUAGUCCCUACAGUAAACGAUGUCGACAAGGGAUUGGUUUUCGGUAAAAUCAGUACCUUAAGAGAAAUCAUAGUUCAUGGACUCUGGGGGAACUACGAUCGCAAGACAGAAACUUGAAGGAAUUGACGGAAGGGCACACAAGGGGUGGAGCCUGCGGCUUAAUCUGACUCAACACGGAGAAACUUACCAGGACAAGGUGAUUCUGGUGAGCGACAGUCUAAAGGACUUUCGGGAUAAGUCUUUGGGUGGUGCAUGGCCGUUGGUGGUGCGUGGGUUGACCUGUCUAGCGUUGAUUCAGGUAACGAGCGAGAUUAUUGCCAUUUUGGUAAAACGGUCUAGGAAACUAGAUUCAUUUAAAGAAUGGGACCGCCCGUCAUUUAACGGGAGGAAGGGGGUAGCAAUAACAGGUCCGUGAUGUCCUUUAGAUGCCCUGGGCUGCACGCGUGCUACAAUGGAGAUAACAAAGGGCUAGCCAACUCGAAAGAGGUAGCUACACAAUAAUUAUCUGCGUUGUUGGGAUUGGGGUUUGUAAUCAACCACAUGAACUAGGAAUCCCUUGUAAGCGUGUGUCAACAUCGCACGUUGAAUACGUCCCUGCCCUUUGUACACACCGCCCGUCGCUCCUACCGAUUGGAUGACCUGGUGAAAAUAUCAGAACUUUCGGGCUAAGGUAUUUAAAUCAUGUUAUCUAGAGGAAG